AAAAAGUGAACCAAAACAAACAGCUGAUUGCAAGCCAUUUCUGUACAUCACAGGGCGCCUCCUCAGCUCUGGUGGUCUUCCUGUUACCUGAUGAGGAAGGAAGCAGAGGUUUUCUCAUCCACCUUUUGGUAUGUCGAUUUUCCUUCAUUCUUCGCUGCCAACUCUUCCUUUGGCUGUAACUUUUUUCUAUCAAUCUCAACUGCCACGUGUGGCUUCAUCAUUCUUCCUCACUGCUCCUAGACACAUGUUUAGGGUUUAUGGUUUAGGGUUUGUGUGUCAGCUUGCUACGAAUGAAAGCAGAAAGGAGAUUAAGAAUUAUCAAGAAAAGCUAGCUAGCUAGCCCCUGAUUUCUUGUGAUUUUGCUUGUCUUUGAAAC
This 376-nucleotide long non-coding RNA is filed under the name Prunus persica (peach). Its description in RNAcentral is "long non-coding RNA (PPER_LNC005923)". Lineage: Eukaryota; Viridiplantae; Streptophyta; Magnoliopsida; Rosales; Rosaceae. The record is from RNAcentral.